UAAGGAAUAUUGGACAAUGGACGCAAGUCUGAUCCAGCCAUGCCGCGUGAAGGAUGAAUGCCCUCUGGGUUGUAAACUUCUUUUAUAGGGGAAGAAAGAUACUUUUUUUAAGGUAGUUGACGGUACCCUAUGAAUAAGCACCGGCUAACUCCGUGCCAGCAGCCGCGGUAAUACGGAGGGUGCAAGCGUUAUCCGGAUUUACUGGGUUUAAAGGGUGCGUAGGUGGGCAGAUAAGUCAGUGGUGAAAUCUUCCGGCUUAACCGGGAAACUGCCGUUGAGACUAUUUGUCUUGAAUAUUGCGGAGGUAAGCGGAAUAUGUCAUGUAGCGGUGAAAUGCUUAGAUAUGACAUAGAACACCAAUUGCGAAGGCAGCUUACUACACAAUCAUUGACACUGAGGCACGAAAGCGUGGGUAGCGAACA
Molecule: ribosomal RNA, 422 nt
Filed under: uncultured bacterium
Lineage: Bacteria
Description: bacterial SSU rRNA
Rfam family: Bacterial small subunit ribosomal RNA
Source: RNAcentral